RNAcentral lists this ribosomal RNA (504 nucleotides) under uncultured Pediococcus sp. RNAcentral describes it as "bacterial SSU rRNA". It matches the Rfam family "Bacterial small subunit ribosomal RNA", at positions 708 to 1212 of the family's 1533-position model. Lineage: Bacteria; Bacillati; Bacillota; Bacilli; Lactobacillales; Lactobacillaceae. The record is from RNAcentral.
CCCAGUGGCGAAGGCGGCUGUCUGGUCUGUACUGACGCUGAGGAAAGGGGGCGUGGGUAGCGAACAGGAUUAGAUACCCUGGAGAGGAGGCCGUAAACGAUGAAUGCUAAGUGUUGGAGGGUUUCCGCCCUUCAGUGCUGCAGCUAACGCAUCAAGAAAUCCGCAUGGGGGAGUACGACCGCAAGGUUGAAACUCAAAGGAAUUGACGGGGGCCCGCACAAGCGGUGGAGCAUGUGGUUUAAUUCGAAGCUACGCGAAGAACCUUACCAGGUCUUGACAUCUUCUGCCAAUCUCAGAGAUUAGACGUUCCCUUCGGGGACAGAGUGACAGGUGGUGCAUGGUUGUCGUCAGCUCGUGUCGUGAGAUGUUGGGUUAAGUCCCUUUUUUUAGCGCAACCCUUAUUAUUAGUUGCCAGCAUUAAGUUGGGCACUCUAGUGAGACUGCCGGUGACAAACCGGAGGAAGGUGGGGAUGACGUCAAAUCAUCAUGCCCCUUAUGACUUGG